AUGUUGUUUCUGACUCAUACUAGGCCUGACAUAUGCUUUGCUGUUCAACAUCUGAGUCAAUUCCUAAAAUGCCCCAGACUUCCACAUAUGACUGCUGUCCUGCAUGUUUUGAGAUACCUUAAAGGCACUCUUUCUAUGGGUCUAUUUUAUUCUGCCAGUGCUGAUUUCUCUGUUGUUGGUUAUUCUGAUUGUGACUGGGCUGCCUGCCCUGAUACUAGGAGAUCUGUUACUGGAUUUUGUGUACUUUUGGGUGGUUGCCUGAUUAGUUGGAAAUCUAAGAAGCAACUUGUUGUUUCUUUGUCUUCUGCUGAAGCAGAAUAUAGAGCCAUCAGCAAAGUUGUUGCUGAAUUAUCUUGGCUUUCUCGUUUAUUGGUUGACCUUGGGGUAUCUGUUUCUCUUCUUUUUUCUGCAUAUUGUGACAGUCAGGCUGCUGUCCAUAUAGCUAACAAUCCUGUUUUUCAUGAGCGCACCAAACACAUCGAGGUGGACUGCCAUUUUGUUCGUGACCUGCUACAGAAUGGUUUUCUCAAUCUGCUUCAUGUUCCUACUUCUCGUCAACUGGCUGACCUGCUCACUAAGCCAUUGCUUGGCACUGUGCUUCAUCCGUUGUUAUCCAAGUUGCAGGUGGUUUCCCCCUCCAACUUGAGGGGGGUGUUGAGAUGAGAGAUUAUAUGGCCUCCAAACCUAAGCACAAAUGAUUGUAUCCAUUGUAUAUACAUUGUAUUUUUGUUAUAUUUUCUAGUAUACAUUGUUUAUGUGAGAGCUGGGCUGUGAUGAAAGAGCAUAAAUGAUUGUAUGUAUAUACAUUGUAUAUUUAUUGCAUUUUCUGGUAUACAUUGUAUAUGUGGGAGUUGGGCUGUGAUGAUUUGUUGUUUGGG
This 878-nucleotide long non-coding RNA is filed under the name Nicotiana benthamiana. Its description in RNAcentral is "long non-coding RNA (NBEN_LNC029125)". Lineage: Eukaryota; Viridiplantae; Streptophyta; Magnoliopsida; Solanales; Solanaceae. The record is from RNAcentral.